UCCUUUUUUAUUCCUUGGUUCGGUCUACAAGGUAUUGGAUCUGGGCUAACAUUUUGGGGCAAUAAGAUGUCUAAAAUAUCUGGGCUAAUGGCCAUAUUCUUUGUGGCUUGAACCACAUGAAUGCUUCACUUCCAUUAUCCAACCACUUCUUGCCAAUUGUCGAAAUUCCACAAGGCCAUAACCCCUUCAAAAGUUCGGAGCACAAAAGUGACUUCUAACAUCCCAACAGCAUCACAUUCCAAAGCUGCAAAAAUUUGCUCCUGUUCUGUUCUGUUCUGUUGCUGCAACAUCUAGAGAAUGAACACUGCAAAAAGAGCUGCUCAGCUUCUCUCAACUCAGAACAUUAGGUCCUUCUUAGACUCUGCUGAGGCCUUUCUCUUUGAUUUGAUGGUGUGAUUUGGAAAGGAGACAAACUCAUUGAUGGGGUCUCUCAAACAAUGGACUUCCUUCGUUCUAAGGGAAAAAAAACACUUGUUUUUGUGAUAAAUAAUUCAUUAAAUUCAAGAAUGCAAUGUGCCAAGAAGUUCCAUUCACUUUGGAUUUCGGUUGAUGAGGCCUUUAUCACUUGUCAACCUCCACUGUCUUACAGCGUAACACUAAUUUUUGAAAUCGAGUAGAGACUUCAUGUUAGAUCACAGCUCAGUGGUCUUUUAAACACCAGUUUCAUCAUUCAAGUGCCUUCUACCUAUUGUCUCAAACAGUGAGGUUCCUUAAAAAUGGUGACAUAGUUUUUGCACCAUCUAUAAAAUCUUGAAGGCAGCGUCCAGUUGGAAGGAGGCUUACCUUUUCUCCUCGUAGAUGCUUCACUUACAACACUUUUGUCCUGUACAAUGAUCUAUCCAUUUCCACUGCAGCUGUUCAUCUUCUUUUACAACAUGGAAGCAUUAGCUAUCUUGUCUUUGCUUUUACCUGUAUCUUACAUUUGGUCUUAAAGGGAGCGGACGUUUUCUACCAUGUUUUUUAUUUAACAAUAACAACAAUUUACCAUACGCUCUUGUUUUACACAAUAUUGUGGCACC
This is a long non-coding RNA of Populus euphratica (Euphrates poplar), 1019 nucleotides long. RefSeq lists it as uncharacterized. The transcript is spliced from 3 exons. The record is from RefSeq and is a predicted model, not a curated record. Lineage: Eukaryota; Viridiplantae; Streptophyta; Magnoliopsida; Malpighiales; Salicaceae.